This 500-nucleotide ribosomal RNA is filed under the name uncultured Glomeromycotina. Its description in RNAcentral is "partial small subunit ribosomal RNA". It matches the Rfam family "Eukaryotic small subunit ribosomal RNA", at positions 591 to 1092 of the family's 1831-position model. Lineage: Eukaryota; Fungi; Glomeromycota. The record is from RNAcentral.
CCAAUAGCGUAUAUUAAAGUUGUUGCAGUUAAAAAGCUCGUAGUUGAAUUUCGGGGUUAGUAAGCUGGUCGUGCCACUGGUAUGUACUGGUUUUACUGAUCUCUCCUUCUUGUAGAACCGUAAUGCCAUUAAUUUGGUGUUGCGGGAAAACAGGACUGUUACUUUGAAAAAAUUAGAGUGUUUAAAGCAGGCUAACGCUUGAAUACAUUAGCAUGGAAUAAUGAAAUAGGACGUUCGAUCCUAUUUUGUUGGUUUCUAGGAUUGACGUAAUGAUUAAUAGGGAUAGUUGGGGGCAUUAGUAUUCAAUUGUCAGAGGUGAAAUUCUUGGAUUUAUUGAAGACUAACUACUGCGAAAGCAUUUGCCAAGGAUGUUUUCAUUAAUCAAGAACGAAAGUUAAGGGAUCGAAGACGAUCAGAUACCGUCGUAGUCUUAACCAUAAACUAUGCCGACUAGGGAUCGGAUGAUGUUAAUUUUAUAAUGACUCAUUCGGCGCCUUACG